Molecule: non-coding RNA, 536 nt
Organism: Schizosaccharomyces pombe (fission yeast)
Lineage: Eukaryota; Fungi; Ascomycota; Schizosaccharomycetes; Schizosaccharomycetales; Schizosaccharomycetaceae
Source: the annotation of a GenBank genome assembly
UUAUAGGGGCUUCAUUAAGAGUAAAUAAUAAGGGAAGUAAUGAUAGGUAACCAGAAACCGCUAAUGGACGAAAUGCUUCCAAGUACCGACGGUCAAUUAAAGACAAUAUGCUAAAUGGCAGAAUUACCAUCAGAAUAGCUUUCUCAUGUACGUGCCAACCAAACAAAAAACUUAUCCAACCACAUAGAGUGACAGCUCCCACGAAAACCCGCCAUGUGGGUUUAAUAAAAAGUUUGAUUAAAACAGUGAUUUGAAGACCGAGACAUAUGUAAAAUGUUAGUGCUGGGGGGAUGUUUGGUAAAACAGCAAAAGAGCUUUCCCCAACCAAACCACGUGUAGGAGCAUUUAUUGACGUUCCCUGAUUUAGUGCAUAGCCAAAACGCGGCAGAACAGCAAAAGCAACACGAUCAACAAAAGAGUACAAGGCCCAAAAAUUAGGUGCCCAAUAAGCAUGACAAAGACCACGGGAAAAAGGAAACAAUCUUGAGAGAAGUUGGGGUAUUUGUUUCAUGUAAAUCCACGGUCCAAAGGCUAGU